Molecule: non-coding RNA, 72 nt
Organism: Candidatus Portnoybacteria bacterium RBG_13_40_8
Lineage: Bacteria; Candidatus Portnoyibacteriota
Source: Rfam
CGCGGGGUGGAGAAGUAGUAUCUCGUCUGGCUCAUAACCAGAAGAUCGACCGUGCAAUUCGGUCCCCCGCAA